GCCUGGAGGCUGCAGAUGGAGGUCAACUUCUGGAGGGGCCUCCGGAGCCGGGUGCGUAGGUUCGAAUCCUACAGGGGGCA
Molecule: transfer RNA, 80 nt
Filed under: Nonomuraea endophytica
Lineage: Bacteria; Bacillati; Actinomycetota; Actinomycetes; Streptosporangiales; Streptosporangiaceae
Description: tRNA-Ser
Source: RNAcentral